RNAcentral lists this ribosomal RNA (253 nucleotides) under uncultured bacterium. RNAcentral's name for it is "partial 16S ribosomal RNA". It matches the Rfam family "Bacterial small subunit ribosomal RNA", at positions 524 to 776 of the family's 1533-position model. The record is from RNAcentral.
UACGGAGGGGGCUAGCGUUGUUCGGAAUUAUUGGGCGUAAAGCGCACGUAGGCGGCUUUGUAAGUCAGGGGUGAAAUCCCGAGGCUCAACCUCGGAACUGCCUUUGAUACUGCAAAUCUCGAGUCCGGAAGAGGUGAGUGGAAUUCCUAGUGUAGAGGUGAAAUUCGUAGAUAUUAGGAAGAACACCAGUGGCGAAGGCGGCUCACUGGUCCGGUACUGACGCUGAGGUGCGAAAGCGUGGGGAGCAAACAGG